UUUUCUAAUUGAAAUCUCAAACUGUGUUUCUAUUAGCAGACAAACCCUGAGUGUUUCCUCUGGGGAAACAAACCCGGGCAAGGUACAGGGCUUAGGACGACACGACCCAGACCGCCGUCCGGCUGUCCGCCCCCGCCGGGCGGCUGGGGUUCCGAGUGUGGAACAGAACUGAGAACUCCGUGCCCGGAGCUGCUGUCCCGAGGGCUGAUGUCACACAGCCCAGGUCUGACGGGGUGAGGGACUCGGAGGGGGCCUGUUUGCUCCGCGGGCUCUGGCUGAGGGCUGCUCCUGAGCGACAGCUGGGCCCAGUGGGGGCAGUCACAUCCCCCCAGGGAUCCGGGGGCCAGGCGUUGGUUGCUGCAGGGCCCUGCUCUCUAGUUCACGUCUUUCUCUUUUUCAUCCAUGUCUCGGGCCGUCGGCCUCAUGCAGGUGCGGACGACGGGGCCCCGGGAAGCGUGCCUGCCGCCCGCCAGUGUCCGGGAGGGCUCCUCUCCCCGCCGCUGCCCAGCCUCCGUGAGGCCCGGCUCCUCCAGGCUCAGAGUGUGUGGCUGAGCAGAGUGUGCACGCCAGGUAAACUGCGUUUGGAGGAAGUCCAUGGGAUUUCGGAGGGAAACGGCAGAGGAGGGUGUGUGGCCUACAGGAUGAGGGACAAGGCCCUUGGGGACACCAGGGCCUGGUCUGCGCAGCACACUCCUGUCUCUGAGCCUGGGGGAGGGAUUGGCUGGAAGCUUCCAGACUCUCCUUAAGUGCUCAGGUGGCAUCACCCAGUUGUCAGUGGGAGAACUGAAAGCACUUCUCCUGCAAUACACAUUGUCCGCCCGAUGGGUGUGCACGGUCUCCGCAGUGCACUGCACACGGAACAUCUGGAAAGAGGCCGUCCUAAGUUAUCCCCACAGAAGGUCUUUAAGCCGAAGGGGCCGCUGGGAGUCAAGUCUGACUUGGAAAGUGAGCACGCUUUGGCGUUUGGGGGGGGAACCACCUGCUGGUUCCUUACAGCUGCACGCUACUGCCUGGGUCUGGGGAGAGGUUUUCACACUCUCUGUCCCCUGCCCGUCUUCUCUGUGACUUCCCGUUUGUCGCUUGUCAUCCACGAAUCACCCCUCACCCCACGCUGGGCUGGCUGGGCUCUGAGACCUCCCUGGGAGACGCCGCCGUGGGUCACAGGCAGGAGACUCUGUGCUUUGGGGGUCGUUCUCCCUCCCUGGAGGGAGCACACUCAGGUUGCUGCACGGCCGUGGGGGGAGAGGAGGGGAGCCCCGGUCACUGCCUGCCCGCCCCCCUCUGCCCAGGUGCGUGCUUGACCUUGGCGCCAUGAUUGAGAGGGUGGACGUCGAUACGAUGUUGCUCAUCUGUGGCAGCUUGCUGAUCAUCGCCUUCUUCCUCCUGUGCUGUUUCCUCUGCGUUUACUGCAAGCUGGCCAGCGUCUUGAGGAAACUGUGACGACCGGCGGCGCUGACCCCGGAGGCCAGCGACUGGGAGCGGGAGGAGGCCAUGCCGAGGCGCUGCCCUCUCCGCACUGGCCACUGUCUGUGCCCCCCGACCCGCUGCAGAGGGUGACGCCGCAGAGACGGUCCCCCAGAGAGGUGGGCCCCCCCGUGCCCCGGGGCCGCGGGCCGCGCCCUGAAGUACAGGCGUCCAUGCCGAGCUCAGCUGCCUCCUGACUCCGUUCUUCCAGGUGGUCAGGGCCCCCAAAGGCGGGGGCUGCGCUGUCCCUGGCCCCCAGCCCCAGUGCAGGGCCCAGACUCAGCAGGUGUCGGGGGUUGGGGGAGGGCAGGGAGGGCGACCGCACUGACCUUUGUCAGUAAACCUCGGACCUCAAGACACAGCAGCAACCCCGAGCCGUGUCGGUUUGCCUAUCGGUGAGAGCGUGCGGCACGCUGCCCACUGGUCACCAGCGCUGCCCUCCCGACCCGCUCCGGGGCAGCGGGGGCACCGCCCCGAGCUGCAGUGGAGACACCCAGGAGGGCCGCGCUCAGGCCUCUGUUGGGGGAGCUCAGAGGGCAGGAGGGAGUCCUGGGCAACUGGGACCCGGCCCUGGGAGUCUUGUUUCCAACCCUCCUCCUGGGGCCACGCUCCUUCCCUGCCUGAGCUUCCAGAAGCUUCUGGGCCGCUACCUUCCUUCUCGUUCCCAGCAAAGAAGUCCAGGCACAGCCCAUCAUGGGAGGGCUGGUUCUCAUCCCCACCCCAUCCACACUUCAGGGGUCCUCAUCGGUGGCAGCUGUGCAGGGGGGCGGGGGGCGGGGCCCUGCAGAGCAGGGGGAGAAGAGUGACCGGGUUCCCGGGGCUUGUUUGCUCCGUGUGGGGAACUCUGUGUGACUCACACUCACGGGCUUUUCACCGAGUCCGGGGCGUGGACUGCGUGCCCCCCCGUGACUGACGUCGGGACGGAGAGGGCCGUCCCCAUCCUCUGCCCAGAUACCCCCAACACCUGCAAAGAGCGCAUCUCCGGUGACUGGAGGGAGGGGCCCAGUUCCCCGAGCGCGUGGCCCCGGGCUCGCCCGAGACCGGCCGGGCUCCAUCUCUGGGCCGGGCAGCCGGCUGCUCUCCCUCUCCGAGUCCAGUCGGCCUCCAGGCCCCCGGGGUCAGGGGUGCUCCGGCCGAAGGCCUGUGGUCCCAGCAGCCCUACUAAGUGGAGGGAGGGCGUCCGACUCCCCUGCACAGACACCCUCACAGAAGCUCCUGCAGCUCUGGGUCAGCGGGUCUGUGCCCGGCCCCGCCCCACUCGGUCCCGAGGGUGGCCCUGGGUUCCGCCGCCCAGUUUCUUUGUAUUGUGGACCCACCUGGUGGGGCGGCCUGGGGAGACGUCAUAGGGAAGGCCCGUCACUAACCCUGACUGCAGAGAGGGGUGAAAAGACGGGUUCUUCCCUAAGGGCUGCGUGUACCUCCCAAGCAGGGUCGUGCCUGCCAACAGGACUAAAGGAACAGUUGCCGGGGCGACCGUGUUGCUUCAGCUUUUGUAGCUUUUAUCAGUAGUUUUUGAAAUGGAGACUUCUAGUGCUGUUAAGGACAGUAAGGUCUUUUUGUCAGUUACAUUUGAAACUUCCUGAUUACACAAAUCCCCAAUCUACAAAUAAUAAAUGAAAUCACACCGUUCAAAACUGUUGAUUUUUUAUAGAUUCAGUAAUAAGUGUAUGAGGAACUUCAGGUAUCCAAAGAUUUCCCUUGUUGAUGUUUACGAGGAAAUUGAUGUUUGCCAAUUCAACUCAAUUAUUUUAUUAUUUAGGAUUCGAUUUGAUUGCAACAGGAAUCUCAAAAUAAUGGUGGCUCACACAGAAGUAGUUCACAUUUCUCUUACACUCAGGGAGUUCAGUAGCAUCCCAGGGGCAUCUGGUUCAGCUAAGCUUCCUUGCCCAAGGUCAU
Phyllostomus discolor (pale spear-nosed bat) is the source of this 3360-nucleotide long non-coding RNA. RefSeq lists it as uncharacterized. The record is from RefSeq and is a predicted model, not a curated record. The transcript is spliced from 2 exons. NCBI's taxonomy places the organism in Eukaryota, Metazoa, Chordata, Mammalia, Chiroptera, Phyllostomidae.